Molecule: non-coding RNA, 790 nt
Organism: Camellia sinensis
Lineage: Eukaryota; Viridiplantae; Streptophyta; Magnoliopsida; Ericales; Theaceae
Source: RefSeq, a predicted model, not a curated record
UUUUUUUGGUGGUGGCAAAAUAAGACAAACUCAUAGUCAGUGGCACACUUGGCUGAAAUUGAAGAACAAUUAAGUUAUUGUUAACUGUAGGACUUGAAUCAAUUUCAUGGAAUGUGGAUUGUUGUGGUGUUUAGAGUGAGAACAUGAUUUGGUGUUAUGUGUACUCAAGAAAUGGAUGGUGGAUCAUAUGCUCAUUUCAGUUACUCAGUUAUAGUAUAGUAAUUAAUUUUGAAUAAAUUUGCCAAAUUAAUUGGUUUUAAAUUUUGGUGAUGUUGAUGCCGUGUGCUACUGCUGUGUGCUUGCUGUUGUGUGCCUAGAUUGCUGCUUAUUAAAAAGCAUCUCAUCUGGUGUGUUGGUGGAGAAAUUAUUGUAUGUGAUAUUCCAAUUGAAGACUACAACAUAGAACUGGAAAAUCAGAGUGGAGAAACAGUACAAUUGGGAUCUGAGACUGAUCAGCGGUCUGUGAUGAUGGGUUUAAUGCUUCAUGCAAAUGCUACACAGUUGAUUAGAAUGGAAAGGUAUAAAGAUGCAUUGGAAGUGCUUCCCAUGGGAGAGGUUAGUAUCUGGUGGACUACAUGCCAAAACAAAAAGACUCUUCCUUGCUUCAGCACCCUUUGUUCUUUAUCUUCCUUGGAAAUGUACAUGUAUUAAUAAUCAAGCUGACAUGAAUUGAAUUUUGCUAGUUUGCAAAAGAUCUUGCUGCAGAAGCCCUUUGUAGAAAUGAGAAUGACACUCAGAAGGCUUUGGAUGAUUUGACAAAUCCAGAAUCUAAUUCUGCCAUACAGGUAAG